This 433-nucleotide ribosomal RNA is filed under the name uncultured bacterium. Its description in RNAcentral is "partial 16S ribosomal RNA". It matches the Rfam family "Bacterial small subunit ribosomal RNA", at positions 29 to 507 of the family's 1533-position model. The record is from RNAcentral.
AACGAACGCUGGCGGCAUGCCUGACACAUGCAAGUCGAACGAGACCUUCGGGUCUAGUGGCGCACGGGUGCGUAACGCGUGGGAACCUGCCUUUAGGUUCGGAAUAACUCAGAGAAAUUUGAGCUAAUACCGGAUGAUGUCUUCGGACCAAAGAUUUAUCGCCUUUAGAUGGGCCCGCGUUGGAUUAGCUAGUUGGUGGGGUAAAGGCCUACCAAGGCGACGAUCCAUAGCUGGUCUGAGAGGAUGAUCAGCCACACUGGGACUGAGACACGGCCCAGACUCCUACGGGAGGCAGCAGUGGGGAAUAUUGGACAAUGGGCGAAAGCCUGAUCCAGCAAUGCCGCGUGAGUGAUGAAGGCCUUAGGGUUGUAAAGCUCUUUUACCCGAGAUGAUAAUGACAGUAUCGGGAGAAUAAGCUCCGGCUAACUCCGUG